CGGCAAGCGGCGGCGGCGGCGGCGGGAGGGGGCUCAGCAACGGGACCGGCCCCCCGAGGAGGACGCAGGACCGGGGGCCGGAGGGCAGGCUGCUCUCCUCCUCCUCGUACUCCUCCAGCUCGGCCAGCAGCGAGAGCCUGGGGGAGGGGGACGAGCGCCCCAACGGGAGGGGGGGCGGCAUCCAGGUGGGGGGCGGCGCCCGCGCCAAAGAGGGGCCCCAGCGCCGGGCCGGGCAGCCCAGGAGCCGGCCGGUCAGCCUGUUCGUGGACGUUUCCAAGGCCAACACCCUGCCCCGCGUGCGGGAGGCGCCCCUGCCGCCCGAGCCGAAGAGCCCCGGGGAGUACGUCAGUAUCGAGUACCGGGGGGGAGGGGUGCCUGGGAUACCUCACCCGUCGGGCCCCGCCAGGCCCCUGCAGCGGCCCGGCUCCUGCCUGGGCGGCUUGCACGGGCACGGCUCGCCCGAGCCCCACGCCUCCGAGUACGUCAACAUGGACCUGGGCCCCCUCCUGGCCCCGCUGGGCUUCCCCGGCUACCCCACCCCGGCCGCCGCCCCGCUGGCGUUCGAUGAGCACCGGCCAGACCUGGAGCCCAGCGAGGAGCCCGGCCGGGGCAAGCACGGGGCCUCAGUCCCCGAGGAGUCGCCCACCUUCGGGGAUUACACCGAGAUGGCCUUCAGCUUGGGGCCCCCGUCCCCCCGCUCGGCCUCUCCGGGGGGCGUGGCGAGCGUGGGGCUCGGGUUGGACUUCCCCCUGUCCAAGCCGACCCCCAACCCGGACCAGGGGGCGAAGGUGAUCCGGGCUGACCCCCAGGGCCGCAGGAGGCACUGCUCCGAGACCUUCCUGGCCACCCAGUCCCUGCCCCCUUCCUCCUCCUCCUCCUCUUCCUCCUCCUCCUCCUUCUCCCUCUUCCCCGAUCACGCCCAGGCGGCAGCCCGGAGGCUCGCGUUUGACGGCGUCUGGGGGAAAGGGGGCGCCUGCGACGGCGCCAAUGAGCCCGCCCCUCUGUGCGCCAUUCCCAGAUCGCCCGCUGUCCCCGUCGCCCAGGCGCCCCCCUCCUCAUCCUCUUCCUCCAUGGAGCAAGGCCUCAACUACAUCGACCUGGACCUCGCCAGCAAGGACAGCCCCCAUGCCACCCUGGAGGCCGCCCCCUCCGCCCAGGUGGCCUCCCGCCUCUACUCUUCGGGCCUCGUGGCGGACGGAGGCGGCUCAGCCGCCGUGCUCAACACCUACGCCAGCAUCGACUUCUACAAGUCGGAGGAGCUGCGGGCGCAUCAGAGCAGCAGCAAGGAAGGCACAGAAUGUUGACAGCCCAACUGAAUUCUGGGAAACUGGAGGACCGAAUUUGCUGCCUCUGCUUUAGAUCUGCCUCCUCUACCCUACAUCCAAAAGUGAUACAUGAGGGGUGGGGCUAAUGCCUUAAGAGGAACACCAUUGGAUGUCAUGCAGAGAUCUUGGACACGCCCCCCCAAAGGAGCAAUUUGUGGAUUUCUUUUGCUUUCUUUUUAUUGGUGGGUACUGAAUUAACGCAACCAAUGGGAAUGCAUUGGCUGCUGAAGACUUGGCAAAUCAGACUCUUUGACAGGAGAACACGGAGCCAAUCG
Molecule: long non-coding RNA, 1600 nt
Filed under: Lepisosteus oculatus (spotted gar)
Lineage: Eukaryota; Metazoa; Chordata; Actinopteri; Semionotiformes; Lepisosteidae
Description: lncRNA (ENSLOCG00000023080.1)
Source: RNAcentral